This 502-nucleotide long non-coding RNA is filed under the name Pan troglodytes (chimpanzee). RNAcentral's name for it is "long non-coding RNA NONPTRT005116". Lineage: Eukaryota; Metazoa; Chordata; Mammalia; Primates; Hominidae. The record is from RNAcentral.
CGCGAGAGAAGCGGCGGCUGGGCCCUGCAGGCGGAGGAAGUGGAAGAAGUCGCGGGAGGGUAGGGGACCGCGGAACUUCUGGUUGCUAUGACGACGGCAAAGCCCUGGAUUCCUGUCUCCUGCGCAGAGCAGAGGCUGCAAACAAAUGAAAAGAGGCUUGCUCAUGACUUGGAAGCGGUGGGCUGAGGCCUCCCAAGACCAUCUGGCUUGUUCCAUUGCCAGCCAGAGUGGAGGCGACAUUCACACGAACCCAGGAGCUGCAGGGGCGCGUGAGCUACAGCUGCCUUGUGGCAUCCAAGGAGUGCGCAGUGAGAUUCCGCAGGAGAAAUCACGCUUUGCAUGUUCUUGAGUACAAGAAACAUGUGUAAUGAGGGUUUUUGUUUGCGGGCAUGCCAAGGAGAACGACUGGAAUAUUAAAGUCAUCACAGCCUUUAUUUAAGGGAAAAGAGGACAAGAAUGAAUAUGCUGAUAGUUCAGAGAUAUUUAGGACCUUCAGCAGCUC